This 466-nucleotide ribosomal RNA is filed under the name Penaeus japonicus. RNAcentral describes it as "partial 16S ribosomal RNA". It matches the Rfam family "Bacterial large subunit ribosomal RNA", at positions 1856 to 2570 of the family's 2925-position model. Lineage: Eukaryota; Metazoa; Arthropoda; Malacostraca; Decapoda; Penaeidae. The record is from RNAcentral.
AGCCUGCCCACUGAUUUGUUUUAAAGGGCCGCGGUAUAUUGACCGUGCGAAGGUAGCAUAAUCAUUAGUCUUUUAAUUGGAGGCUUGUAUGAAUGGUUGGACAAAAAGUAAGCUGUCUCGAUUAUAAUAAUUGAACUUAACUUUUAAGUGAAAAGGCUUAAAUGUUUCAGGGGGACGAUAAGACCCUAUAAAGCUUGACAAUAACUUCGUUAUAUUAUAAAUUGUUAGUAUAACUUGAUUUUAACGGGGGUUUGUUUCGUUGGGGCGACGGGAAUAUAAUAAAUAACUGUUCUUUUAAAUAUAAUUACAAAAAUGUUUGGUAAAUAAUUGAUCCUCUAUUAGAGAUUAAAAGAUUAAGUUACUUUAGGGAUAACAGCGUAAUCUUCUUUGAGAGUCCACAUCGACAAGAAGGUUUGCGACCUCGAUGUUGAAUUAAGGUAUCCUUAUAAUGCAGCAGUUAUAAAGG